GAAUGGCAUGGGAAGGCCAACCAAAGAGUGUGAGAGUCACGUAGAUGAAAACGGCGAGAGCUGCGCGAGUUCCAGAGUACGGCCAGACACGUGAAACCUGGUCGGAAGAUGGGGGGACCACCCUCCAACCCUAAAUACUACCCAGUGACCGAUAGCGUAUAGUACUGUGAAGGAAAGGUGAAAAGGACCCCGGGAGGGGAGUGAAAUAGAACCUGAAACCUUGUGCCUACAAGCACAUAGAGCACAUCAACGUGUGAUAUGGUACUUUUUGUAGAACGGUCCGGCGAGCGAUUGUAUGUUGCGAGCUUAAGGUCUUAAGGACUGGAGGCGUAGCGAGAGCGGGUCUGAAGAGGGCGUUCAGUAACAUGCAAUGGGCCCGAAACCGGGUGACCUACCCAUGAUCAGGCUGAAGUGAAAGUAAAAUUUCAUGGAGGGCCGAACCGACCUCCGUUGAAAAGGCGGCGGAUGAAUUGUGGGUAGCGGAGAAAUUCCAAUCGAACUCGGAGAUAGCUGGUUCUCCCCGAAAUAGCUUUAGGGCUAGCCUCAUAUUAGAUACCCGGAGGUAAAGCACUGAAUGGCCUAGCGCCCGAGAGGGUAGCGAAGCCUAUCAAACUAAGAAUGCCGGAGUAUUGAUGUAUGGGAGUCAGACAGUGUGAGAUAAAUCUCAUUGUCAAAAGGGAAACAGCCCAGAUCUACAGCUAAGGUCCCAAAUUGUAUCUAAGUGGAAAACGAUGUGGAAAUACGCAGACAACCAGGAUGUUGGCUCAGAAGCAGCCACUCAUUUAAAGAGUGCGUAAUAGCUCACUGGUCGAGCGUCUCUGCGCGGAAAAUUUAACGGGGCUAAGAUACAAACCGAAGCUUAGGCUGCACGUAAGUGCGGGGUAGGGGAGCGUUGUGUAAGCGGAGAAACAGUAGCGUAAGCGGCUGUGGAGUUUACAGAAGUGAGAAUGCCGGAAUGAGUAGCGCGAAUGUGGUGAGAAUCCACAUGGCCGGAAACCUCAGGUUUUUGGAGGAAGGUUCGUCCGCUCCAAGUUAGGCGGGAGCUAAGGUCAGGCCGAAAGGCGUAGCCGAUGCACAGACGGUAGAGAUUCCGUCCCCACCGAACGAUUUAAGCACAGGGACACUUUUUGAAGGUCGGAGCCAGGUGUUGGUUCUGGUAGUGAUCGAGGGAAAUAUAGUACCGAAGUCCGGCUGGAGAAGAGGCGAGAAAAGCUGUGUGUAUAUCUAAGGUGCCCGUACCGCAAACCGACACAGGUAGGUAGGAAGAAGAUUCUAAGGCCAACGGGAGAAGGGUUGUUAAGGAACUCGGCAAGUUGACCCCGUAACUUCGGAAUAAGGGGUGCUCACGAGAGUGAGCCGCAGAGAAUAGGCCCAGGCAACUGUUUACCAAAAACACAGGUUUGUGCUAAAUCGAAAGAUGACGUAUACGAGCUGACGCCUGCCCGGUGCUGGAAGGUUAAAAGGAGAUGUGCAAGCAUUGAAUUGAAGCCCCAGUGAACGGCGGCCGUAACUAUAACGGUCCUAAGGUAGCGAAAUUCCUUGUCAGGUAAGUUCUGACCCGCAUGAAAGGCGUAAUGAUCUGGGCACUGUCUCAACAGCCCGCCCGGCGAAAUUGUAGUACCGGUGAAGAUGCCGGUUACCCGCGACAAGACGGAAAGACCCCAUGGAGCUUUACUGUAGCCUGAUAUUGGGUUUCGGUGUUGCAUGCACAGGAUAGAUGGGACGCUAGGAAAGAAGCGCUUUGGCGUUUCUGGAGCGGACGUUGGGAUACCAUCCUUGCGACAUUGGAAUUCUAACCUGCGCCUCUGAAUCGGGGCGGGGGACAUUGUCCGGUGGGCCGUUUGACUGGGGCGGUCGCCUCCUAAAAAGUAGCGGAGGCGUUCACAGGUUCGUUC
RNAcentral lists this ribosomal RNA (1895 nucleotides) under human gut metagenome. RNAcentral's name for it is "bacterial LSU rRNA". It matches the Rfam family "Bacterial large subunit ribosomal RNA", at positions 335 to 2323 of the family's 2925-position model. The record is from RNAcentral.